GAUGAACGCUGGCGGCGUGCCUAAUACAUGCAAGUCGAGCGAACGGACGAGAAGCUUGCUUCUCUGAUGUUAGCGGCGGACGGGUGAGUAACACGUGGAUAACCUACCUAUAAGACUGGGAUAACUUCGGGAAACCGGAGCUAAUACCGGAUGAUAUUUUGAACCGCAUGGUUCAAAAGUGAAAGACGGUCUUGCUGUCACUUAUAGAUGGAUCCGCGCUGCAUUAGCUAGUUGGUAAGGUAACGGCUUACCAAGGCAACGAUGCAUAGCCGACCUGAGAGGGUGAUAGGCCGCACUGGAACUGAGACACGGUCCAGACUCCUACGGGAGGCAGCAGUAGGGAAUCUUCCGCAAUGGGCGAGAGCCUGACGGAGCAACGCCGCGUGAGUGAUGAAGGUCUUCGGAUCGUAAAACUCUGUUAUUAGGGAAAAACAUAUGUGUAAGUAACUGUGCACAUCUUGACGGUACCUAAUCAGAAAGCCACGGCUAACUACGUG
RNAcentral lists this ribosomal RNA (497 nucleotides) under uncultured bacterium. Its description in RNAcentral is "partial 16S ribosomal RNA". It matches the Rfam family "Bacterial small subunit ribosomal RNA", at positions 28 to 507 of the family's 1533-position model. The record is from RNAcentral.